Molecule: long non-coding RNA, 793 nt
Organism: Daphnia magna
Lineage: Eukaryota; Metazoa; Arthropoda; Branchiopoda; Diplostraca; Daphniidae
Exons: 2
Source: RefSeq, a predicted model, not a curated record
UUUUGAUAGAAUCCCUAUCGGGAAAUUGUUUGCAAAAUUUUCACAUCCUUAAACUUUACUCACUCGUUAUCACUAGGAGCCCUUACUCCAUUCAGGAAGUUCCCGAUAGAGCCGGGUGGUUUGAUUCGGUUGUGGAGGGUUGUUUUAUAUCUUCUACGUCGUGCUGGUUGACGGAGUGGUUUCGCGAUUGUGAGGCGAACGGGUUUUUCGGGGGCAGGAAUGUCAAUUUUUUCGGCAGAGAAGUUUAAGUUUUGUGUUUGUUUGCGAGAUUUGGCAAUGAGGGUUUCUAUGUUAUUUGUAUUAAAGGGAAAUACGUACGUCAUAAGGCACCACUGAAGUACUUUUUUUACUUGUUAUUUCUAUUCGAUUCGAUUUAUAUGUUACCUGGCCAGCUGCUGCGUCCUAUGCCUAAUGAGCUACGAUUGUGAAAACCUACUAACACUAGGCACCUCCACCUUUUCCCACGUGUCAAACAUUGUAUGCAACACCAUGAUUUGCAGACGGAAAUUUUGGGAUUCACUUGACCAAAAAAUAUCUGAAUAUUUAGUUCUGCUUUUCUUUUUUGUUCGGCUUUUCUUUGGUGAACUCCUGUGAAAUGGAAUGAUAAUGUUGGAAAUAAAAGUGAUCACUUAAAUGGUCAUGUAUUGAGUCAAGAAACAGCGGCAGUGAGUGCAAACAUGGCUUUUUAGAAAAGGUAUUUUACAGAAAGGGAGUUUUAUCUCUGUACGAGACGGAAAACAUAUAAACGGGGAGGGAGCUUGAAAAAAAAAAUGGAAUAAAGACAUUUUUUUUU